RNAcentral lists this ribosomal RNA (751 nucleotides) under uncultured bacterium. RNAcentral's name for it is "bacterial SSU rRNA". It matches the Rfam family "Bacterial small subunit ribosomal RNA", at positions 664 to 1415 of the family's 1533-position model. The record is from RNAcentral.
GAAUUCCAGGUGUAGCGGUGAAAUGCGUAGAGAUCUGGAGGAAUACCGAUGGCGAAGGCAGCCAUCUGGCCUAAUACUGACACUGAGGUGCGAAAGCAUGGGGAGCAAACAGGAUUAGAUACCCUGGUAGUCCAUGCCGUAAACGAUGUCUACUAGCCGUUGGGGGAUUUGAUCCUUUAGUGGCGCAGCUAACGCGAUAAGUAGACCGCCUGGGGAGUACGGUCGCAAGACUAAAACUCAAAUGAAUUGACGGGGGCCCGCACAAGCGGUGGAGCAUGUGGUUUAAUUCGAUGCAACGCGAAGAACCUUACCUGGCCUUGACAUAGUAGAGACUUUCCAGAGAUGGAUUGGUGCCUUCGGGAAUCUACAUACAGGUGCUGCAUGGCUGUCGUCAGCUCGUGUCGUGAGAUGUUGGGUUAAGUCCCGCAACGAGCGCAACCCUUUUCCUUACUUGCCAGCAUUUCGGAUGGGAACUUUAAGGAUACUGCCAGUGACAAACUGGAGGAAGGCGGGGACGACGUCAAGUCAUCAUGGCCCUUACGGCCAGGGCUACACACGUGCUACAAUGGUCGGUACAAAGGGUUGCUACACAGCGAUGUGAUGCUAAUCUCAAAAAGCCGAUCGUAGUCCGGAUCGCAGUCUGCAACUCGACUGCGUGAAGUCGGAAUCGCUAGUAAUCGCGGAUCAGAAUGCCGCGGUGAAUACGUUCCCGGGCCUUGUACACACCGCCCGUCACACCAUGGGAGUUUGU